UUGCAUCUAAUGUCCUGGGGAAAGAUCUGCAAACCAAAAAGACGGGCGGCCUCAGUCUGUAUGAACGCCAAGCUGAUGGUAGUCUUGUUCUUAAUACUGAGUCAUUAUGGUGUGGGUUGGUCUGUAAGUUUGGCUAUUUGGAAAUCUGUGUUAGCAAGCUUAGUUAUUCAGGAGGGUUUCUUAUGGACCAUUAGCAAUGGGC
RNAcentral lists this long non-coding RNA (202 nucleotides) under Elaeis guineensis (African oil palm). RNAcentral describes it as "long non-coding RNA (EGUI_LNC056748)". Lineage: Eukaryota; Viridiplantae; Streptophyta; Magnoliopsida; Arecales; Arecaceae. The record is from RNAcentral.